GAGUUUGAUCCUGGCUCAGAUUGAACGCUGGCGGCAUGCCUUACACAUGCAAGUCGAACGGCAGCACGGGAGCUUGCUCCUGGUGGCGAGUGGCGAACGGGUGAGUAAUGCAUCGGAACGUAUCCUGGAGUGGGGGAUAACGUAGCGAAAGUUACGCUAAUACCGCAUAUUCCGUGAGCAGGAAAGCGGGGGACCUUCGGGCCUCGCGCUCUUGGAGCGGCCGAUGUCGGAUUAGCUAGUUGGUGAGGUAAAGGCUCACCAAGGCGACGAUCCGUAGCAGGUCUGAGAGGAUGAUCUGCCACACUGGAACUGAGACACGGUCCAGACUCCUACGGGAGGCAGCAGUGGGGAAUUUUGGACAAUGGGGGCAACCCUGAUCCAGCCAUGCCGCGUGAGUGAAGAAGGCC
Molecule: ribosomal RNA, 407 nt
Filed under: bacterium enrichment culture clone ALO1_GLFRUDD03FXE41
Lineage: Bacteria
Description: bacterial SSU rRNA
Rfam family: Bacterial small subunit ribosomal RNA
Source: RNAcentral